RNAcentral lists this transfer RNA (71 nucleotides) under Fusarium redolens. RNAcentral's name for it is "tRNA-Arg". It matches the Rfam family "tRNA". Rfam says of the family: Transfer RNA (tRNA) molecules are approximately 80 nucleotides in length. The record is from RNAcentral. Lineage: Eukaryota; Fungi; Ascomycota; Sordariomycetes; Hypocreales; Nectriaceae.
GGGAUAUUAGUUUAAUGGUAGAACAAGAUGUUUCGGCCAUCUUUGUUGCAGUUCAAGUCUGCAGUAUCCUU